GACAUAGGGGGCAAGCGUUGUCCGGAAUAACUGGGCGUAAAGGGAGUGUAGGCGGUUAUGCAAGUUGAUGGUGAAAGCCCGGGGCUCAACCCCGGAAUUGCCCUCAAAACUGUAUGACUAGAGUGUGGGAGAGGAAGAUGGAAUUCCAAGUGUAGCGGUAGAAUGCGUAGAUAUUUGGAGGAACAUCAGUGGCGAAGGCGAUCUUCUGGAACAUAACUGACGCUGAAAUUCGAAAGCGUGGGGAGCAAAC
RNAcentral lists this ribosomal RNA (250 nucleotides) under uncultured prokaryote. RNAcentral's name for it is "partial 16S ribosomal RNA". It matches the Rfam family "Bacterial small subunit ribosomal RNA", at positions 524 to 773 of the family's 1533-position model. The record is from RNAcentral.